RNAcentral lists this ribosomal RNA (467 nucleotides) under uncultured bacterium. RNAcentral's name for it is "partial 16S ribosomal RNA". It matches the Rfam family "Bacterial small subunit ribosomal RNA", at positions 28 to 506 of the family's 1533-position model. The record is from RNAcentral.
GACGAACGCUGGCGGCGUGCUUAACACAUGCAAGUCGAACGGAAAGGCCCUGCUUUUGUGGGGUGCUCGAGUGGCGAACGGGUGAGUAACACGUGAGUAACCUGCCCUUGACUUUGGGAUAACUUCAGGAAACUGGGGCUAAUACCGGAUAGGAGCUCCUGCUGCAUGGUGGGGGUUGGAAAGUUUCGGCGGUUGGGGAUGGACUCGCGGCUUAUCAGCUUGUUGGUGGGGUAGUGGCUUACCAAGGCUUUGACGGGUAGCCGGCCUGAGAGGGUGACCGGCCACAUGGGGACUGAGAUACGGCCCAGACUCCUACGGGAGGCAGCAGGGGGGAAUAUUGCACAAUGGGCGGAAGCGUGAUGCAGCAACGCCGCGUGCGGGAUGACGGCCUUCGGGUGGUAAACCGCUUUCGCCUGUGACGAAGCGUGAGUGAGGGUAAUGGGUAAAGAAGCACCGGCGAACUACGG